This 243-nucleotide ribosomal RNA is filed under the name uncultured bacterium. RNAcentral's name for it is "partial 16S ribosomal RNA". It matches the Rfam family "Bacterial small subunit ribosomal RNA", at positions 15 to 254 of the family's 1533-position model. The record is from RNAcentral.
GAUCAUGGCUCAGAUUGAACGCUGGCGGCAGGCUUAACACAUGCAAGUCGAACGGUAACAUAAAGGAGCUUGCUUCUUUGAUGACGAGUGGCGGACGGGUGAGUAAUGCUUGGGAAUCUAGCUUAUGGAGGGGGAUAACUACGGGAAACUGUAGCUAAUACCGCGUAGAAUCGGGGGAUGAAAGUGUGGGACCUUCGGGCCACAUGCCAUAGGAUGAGCCCAAGUGGGAUUAGGUAGUUGGUG